Molecule: RNA transcript, 4140 nt
Organism: Lagenorhynchus albirostris (white-beaked dolphin)
Lineage: Eukaryota; Metazoa; Chordata; Mammalia; Artiodactyla; Delphinidae
Gene name: USP6 N-terminal-like protein
Exons: 7
Source: RefSeq, a predicted model, not a curated record
CUGUGAGGACAGGCCGCCCCGCGGCGGCGAGGAGCUCCAGAUGGGCUGCGUCCCCGGACGCCCGGGCACAGCUCUCGCCUCGGCCCUCCAGGCCCUGCAGCUCAGAGCACGGAGGGGACAGACAGCGUCGUUUCCAGGUGGGAAGAGCAUGAGCUUGGAGCCCUCCGGCUGCAUUUGUCAGAUCUGAAAAGCAUGAGUGCCCGUCAGUGCGGGACUUCAAUAACAUCCUGAUGGACCCACGAAAUGCACAUUCACAGCCAUUAACAGCAGACACACCUCGAAGGUAAUCAUGAAGACUUUGAAGACUGGUAAAUGAAAAAGACACUCAGUGAUGCUGUGGGAGGGGGAGUGGAUAACUGUGAUACAGGACCAUCUGGAGGCGGCUUGGCUGGACUCCAUGAGGAUGGGCCAAGGGAUGGCGGGAGAGGGCCAGGCCUCCCGGCUGAGACCUGCAUGGUGACAGGACCCUCCCCCAAAGGCAAGAGACCUUUGAGGCAGUUGGGAGCCCUCGUGGUCUCUGACCUGCUCUGACCCUCGCCCGACCCGACCGCAGUCCAUCUGUAGAGACCAGGCGCCGCUCCAGCAGUUGAGAGGCCGGAAAGGUGUUUGGAGGCCCCCGGGGUCCCUGACCGUCUCUGACCCUCACCUGCCCAGCUCCAUCUCUCCUGCCCCUUCCCUGGGUGCAUUUCCAUCGAGGAGGCACAUCUCCCAGCAGCAAGAGGUCAGAUGGCGUCGCACAUGGAGAAGCCGGAGACCCUGCUGGCCCUGGAACGAGCAGAAAUAACAGCCAAACACAAGUAGGUGAGACCCCGGCAGACGGUGAACACGAAGAGCAGGUGCAGCCCAGGCAGGUAUCAGAGCCAAGGACAGGCAGGUGAGGCCCGGCGGGGAUCAGAGCAGGUAGAUCAGGUGAGGCCCAAGUGGGUAUCGUCACCAGUCGGAGCAGGUACAGCCCCGGUAAGGAUCGUAGUCACCAGCAGCAGGUGAGGCCCAGGUGGGGAAGCACAGCCAGCAGAAGCAGAUAUGUCCCUGGUGGGAUCAGAGCCAAGGAGGGGCGGGUGAGGCCCAGGUGGGGCCCAUUGCCAGGUAUGCGCAGGUGCGGCCCAGUGGGAGCCACAGCAGCAGGAACAGUUAUGUUCCAGGCGGGGAUCCCGGCCAAGGCUGAGAAGGCGGAACCCAGAUGGGUAUCCUCACCCGGAGGGGCGGGUAUGGCCUGGGUGGCGGUCACAGCCAGUGGGACCAGGUGGCCCAGGCAGGAUCCUAGCCAGGUACGAGCAGCUCCCACUCGGGCAGGUGGGUCUCGUGCUGUGCUCCUGGGACGCAGGGCAGGGGAGGUGUCCUGCCCCUCCUUUGGCCACACCUCUGGCCUCUGUGGGUUUCAGGGCCAGGCAGGGGCUCCAGUGGAACCCGGGGAAGAUGCUGACCGCUCGCUGUACAAAGUUGCCGACAGGCUACGUUUUCUGCCAUGAGGCAUCAGGAUGCCCCUCCUUCCCAUCUCGGGGCAGGUUUCCUUUUGCAGAAAGACCUCUCUGGAGGCGGGACCCAUCGCCCCAGCUCAGGGCCUCGACCCCUGGUGGCCACGGCAGGUCAGGGUCUGCACUGGGCUGGAGCUGAGAGGACUCGGGGAGGCGGCGGGGGCAGGGCUGGGCGCUGGUCCAGGCCUGGGCCUCAGCCGCGUGGCCUCCAUGCCUGGCCCUGGCCUCUGCCUCCGAGGUCAGAGGGAGGCUCAGCCUGGUUAGCAGACUCUGCAGAGCGUGGCCACAGGGUGAGGCGCGCCUGGCCCACAGGUCUCCGAGGCUCUGGCCCGGAGGACAGUGAGAGGUGUGGCCUCAGGCGCUGGAGGGACGGGCAGGGGGAGCAGGCAGGACCGGCCUCAGAAGCUCACGGGAAGGAGACAGACGCAGGCGGAGUUUGCAGCUGAAGACGACCUGACCCCUCGGUCUGGGGCUGGGAGGAGACUCGGGGUAGAAGGCCGGGCCGGGCCACGGUGGGGGAGAGAGGAGAAGACGUGCAUGUACCUGGACGGAGCUGGUCUGCAGCAGGGCUAAGGGUGCUGGGCUCCUGGACGGAGGCGUCCACUCUGGAGCAGGGUGAGGCCCUGGGGAGCGACUCACCUGGACGGUGGCGUCCACUCUGGAGCAGGGUGAGGCCCUGGGGAGUGACUCACCUGGACGGAGGCAUCCACUCUGGAGCAGGUCAGGGGAGCUGCGUAGCCUCAGCACCCAGGGCCUCAGCAUCAGCGGCUGCAGCACCCACUCAGCGAGGCUGGCUUCUCUCCCGGAGAUGCGCCGGCGGGUCUACAAAGGAAUCCCCCCACAGGUGCAAGGUCAGGUAUGGUCUCUGCUGUUGGACAUGGAGAAGGUGAAGGUGGAGAACAAAGGGAAAUACCAGGGCUACCCUGGUGGUGCAGUGGUUAAGAAUCCGCCUGCCAAUGCAGGGGACAUGGGUUCAAGCCCUGGUCCAGGAAGAUCCCACAUGCUGUGGAGCAACUAAGCGCGUGCGCCACAGCCACUGAACCUGCACUCUAGAGCCGCGAGCCACAACUACUGAGCCUGCAUGCCACAACUACUAAAGCCCGUGCGCCUACAGCCCGUGCUCCACAAGAGAAGCCACUGCAACAAGGACCCGCGCACCACAACGAAGAGUAGACCCCGCUCGCCACAGCUAGAGAAAGCCUGCACGCAGCAACGAAGACCCAAUGCAGCCAAAAAUAAAUAAGUUUUUUUUUUUUUUAAAGGGACGACCAGGUAUGGCCCCUCCACCUGUGCGGGGGCCGCACCAACAGGCCAGGACAUCAGGAGCUUGGGGGGCUGGGCCUCAGGGACCCCUUGCCCAUCCCCAGCACUUUCCUGGCACCUCCCAGGCUUGCAGGCCCCGAGGCCCACCUGCCUGGAAGGCCCUAACCCACCCCCCUGCUGCCCAUCCCACUUGGCCUAGUGCAGACACUGUGUCCAGAUACGGACACAUGCCACCUGGAAUCAAACUAAGCCCUCCUAGACAGUUGGGGGGACAGAGUCACACAGCAAGGGAUAGAAACCAGGGGGAAAAGAGCAAGGAGACACCCACAGAAGCCAUGAAAGGAGAAAGCAAAGCCAAACCAGAUGAACGACAGGCCUGCAUUCAGCUGAACAGAAGGACUGAAUCCGGACAAGAAGCAGGUCUUUUCCCAUCGCCCCAGAGAGGUCCCUACACCUGGCCUGUUCCCACCGCCCAGCACCCCCUCUCCACCGAGGGUACCCCCAGGUCACAUUGCCCGGGGAGGGCGCUCUGUGUACCCAGACCAAGUAAGACCAGUAGGGGAAAUGUGACAGUGGUCAUGCUUCCACAAGCAACCCAAGGACGGGUAACCUACGAGGCUAAGAAUGUGGCGGACACCCACUAACUGUGGGACCACAGCCAGCGUCACGCUCAGUCCGGAAGCUCUCAAAGGGCCCCCGGAAACAGGGCAGAUACAUACAGAGAUCAAGAAUGUCCCUCCGUAUGAACAUAAAGAGUUCUGAAACGGGAAACAUGCAUGUCUGUUAGGCCUAAGGGGAGCCCCAAGGAUAUGUUUUUCGCCUUCUUAACCAGGGGUCUGAGAAGGGGGGGUGUCAGGGCCGCGGGGCUCUGCAUUCCUCAUGGGCUGUUUUAGCGUCUGGCUGUUGGGAGCCCGAGCCCCCAGCAGCCCUCCCGUCGCCGUCCCCGGGGACCCUGAGUCGGGCUGGUGCCAGAUUGUCUCUUGGGAAACAAGGCAGUGAGCCGCCCUUACUGUCCUCGCCCUGCCCCGCCUCGCCCCGCCGCACCCCUCGUGUCCCCGCCUGUUGGCGGUGGGACUCCGGCGGGGGUCAAGGAACAGAGGCCCAACCGCCCUCUCCGCCUCCCCACGCACCUGGGAGCCGCCUCCCUGGGGCGCUGUCAUCCUGGGAGGCCGCAUGCAGCGGGCGGAGGAGGGGUCCAGCUGGCCUGGACGGUGCCUCCCUAAAGGGCGGGGGUCUGGACCUUGGACGUGGGCGUCACUCGUGACCCGCCCUGGCUUCAGGAAUGCGCACAGUGAGGCUUCUGCAGAAACAGCUCAGCUCCCGCCGGCCUCCUCGCAGCGCGCGCUCUGUCCGGCGGUGGUGGUCGUGGGUCCGGGCUCCGCCUGACGCCUGCCCCGCCCCU